This 495-nucleotide ribosomal RNA is filed under the name uncultured bacterium. Its description in RNAcentral is "partial 16S ribosomal RNA". It matches the Rfam family "Bacterial small subunit ribosomal RNA", at positions 28 to 523 of the family's 1533-position model. The record is from RNAcentral.
GAUGAACGCUGGCGGCGUGCUUAACACAUGCAAGUCGAGCGAAGCGAUUUUAAGGAAGCCUUCGGGUGGAAUUAAAAUUGACUUAGCGGCGGACGGGUGAGUAACGCGUGGGUAACCUGCCUCAUACAGGGGGAUAACAGUUAGAAAUGACUGCUAAUACCGCAUAAGCGCACAGUGCUGCAUAGCACAGUGUGAAAAACUCCGGUGGUAUGAGAUGGACCCGCGUCUGAUUAGGUAGUUGGUGAGGUAACGGCCCACCAAGCCGACGAUCAGUAGCCGGCCUGAGAGGGUGACCGGCCACAUUGGGACUGAGACACGGCCCAAACUCCUACGGGAGGCAGCAGUGGGGAAUAUUGGACAAUGGGGGAAACCCUGAUCCAGCGACGCCGCGUGACUGAAGAAGUAUUUCGGUAUGUAAAGGUCUAUCAGCAGGGAAGAAAAUGACGGUACCUGACUAAGAAGCCCCGGCUAACUACGUGCCAGCCGCCGCAGUAA